Molecule: RNA transcript, 3783 nt
Organism: Capsicum annuum
Lineage: Eukaryota; Viridiplantae; Streptophyta; Magnoliopsida; Solanales; Solanaceae
Gene name: protein DETOXIFICATION 45, chloroplastic
Exons: 16
Source: RefSeq, a predicted model, not a curated record
UUUUGUUGAAUAUCCUCUUGAAAUUUUUCAAAACGAAGAAACUCUUUUAUUUAGGAGAAAUUACUUCUAACUUUUGUCUAAAAAUAGAUAGAUCUUCAUAGAUUUUAUCAGAGAGAGUUUUGGGCGGAGUGAAACCGCCUACCCACUUUUCAUUUCCUCCACAACCUCACCUAACCAUUAUCAUAUACGCACUGUUGCUGCACAUUUACCAAUGCAAUUUGUAGCAUAUAAGAAUGUUUUCACUUGAAGGAUUUCUAGAUUCCGCUGAUGUUCUUAGACAACUCCUCUUUCAAAUUUACGUCAUUUCUCUUGGUUGAAAGUGCCGCUUCUUAUAUGAUAGUCUUCUUAACGCCUACAAUUUUCAUUUGGGUUUCUCAACAGUUUGAAACGCAUCAAUUAAAUUGAACUGCAUUUGUGAGCUAAAAUGGCAGUCCUUAAGCUCCCAGGUGCAGUAACGUGUGGAACUAGUGGUAGAGAACUUGCAGGAGGAACGUUAAAGAAAGCUUUUUUAGUUAAGAUUUCAACAUGGAACAAAAAUCAUGGUCGUUAUCUUGGAUCAAGAUUUGCAAAAAGGUCUAGAUUGGACAAUGUUGUUAAGAAUUGUGGGUUAUCAAGUGAUGAAGAUGCUGCGGAGUACAAGCUAGAUUCUUCUCAUCUUGAAGAGAAGUUUGGCUCAACCAGAGAUCGACUCUUAAAUGGGUCUUCAAGUGAUGGAGCUAUUGCAUUGUCAGGGACAUCUGUUGAUCAAUCGCCAACUCAGGAUGUACAAACCGAGCUUAUAAUGCUUUCUCUGCCUGCUAUUGCUGGACAAGCAAUUGAGCCGUUGGCACAGCUAAUGGAGACAGCUUAUAUUGGACGAAUGGGUGCAUUGGAGUUAGCAUCAGCUGGCAUUUCGGUAUCAAUUUUUAAUAUAAUAUCUAAGGUGUUCAACAUCCCUCUUCUGAGUGUGGCAACAUCUUUUGUGGCUGAAGACAUCUCUAAGUAUGCAGAUAAGGAUUCAGCUGCUGCAGCUGAAAGAAAGGCACUUCCGUCUGUCUCCACUGCCUUAGUUUUAUCUGCUGGGAUCGGUUUGAUUGAAGCUGUAGCAAUGUAUCUCGGUUCUGGACCAUUUCUCAGCAUCAUGGGUAUAUCAAUGGAUUCAACCAUGCGAAUUCCAGCGGAGCUUUUUCUUAAACUUAGAGCACUUGGUGCUCCAGCUGUUGUGCUUUAUCUGUCUGUACAAGGCAUCUUCCGUGGUUUUAAGGACACAAGGACCCCUGUAAUAUGCUUAGGAUUGGGGAAUCUGUCAGCUGUAGUUUUCUUUCCCAUAUUCAUGUGUACUUUAAAACUGGGCAUCACUGGUGCAGCCAUUUCUACUGUUGCAUCUCAAUAUAUUGUGGCCAUUUUGAUGUUAUGGCAUCUUAAUAAAAAGACUGUAUUGCUGCUGCCAAGCAUUAAGAACUUGCGUUUUGGUGGCUAUUUAAAAUCGGGUGGUUUCCUUCUUGGGAGAACAUUAGCUGCUGUUGUUACAGUAACUUUGAGCACAUCAAUGGCGGCUCGAUUAGGAGCAAUACCCAUGGCCGCCCAUCAGAUAUGCUUGCAAGUAUGGUUGUCUGCCUCGCUACUAGCAGAUGCUCAAGCUGCAUCUGGUCAGGCUCUCAUUGCAAGUUCUUUUGCAAGGAAGGACUACGGUAGAGUUAAGUUGAUCACACAUGUAGCUUUAAAGACAGGAUUAGCUACUGGAAUUUUGUUAGCCAUUAUAUUGGGUCUAUCCUUUCCGUCUUUCGCGAAGUGCUUUACAAACGACUCUCAAGUGCUAGACAUUGUUAGAUCUGGUUUACUGUUUGUUAGUGCCAGUCAACCCCUUAAUGCUUUAGCCUAUAUAUUUGAUGGGCUACACUAUGGUGUUUCGGAUUUCCCGUAUGCAGCUAUCUCAAUGAUGAUCGUGGGUGCUCUCGCUUCAAUAUUCCUGCUUUAUGCUCCUCCUAUUAUUGGUCUUCCUGGUGUUUGGUCUGGUUUGACUAUUUUCAUGGGGUUGCGCUCUGUGGCUGGUUUCAUGAGAUUAUCAGCAAAAAAUGGUCCAUGGUGGUUCCUACAGGACUCGCAACAAAAUGAGGUUGCAACAUCAUAGGACUGCUUCGAGAUUAGAGGCUACAGACAUUUCAAAUGAAGUGAAAGCUCAGGGAAUGUAGCUACAAUUGCAGAAUGGACCAAAAAAAGUCGAUUGAAUACAUAAAUCAGCUAUGUGUAUCCCAAUUGGGGGAACAGAUCAUUUCUCUUGCUGGAACAUAACUUGAAGAUACAAAUGAAUGUUAUUACCAGCAAUAUUGAAUGACCCUUCAAAGAAGCAAGCCAAGUGGCUUCUUCAUUUUGUUCAGAACAGACUGCCCAAGGCUUUUGCUUUCUCCCUAAUUAGAAAUUUCUCUAUCUUUUCAGUCGCAAGUUUUAGAAGUUCCUGAAAUGUAACUGUCCAAGGUGCCAUGUAAUGAGGCAGAUUAUCCCUGCAGAAGUUGAUAGUUUCUUGAGGUCUAACAUCGGAUCCCUCCUUCAACUUAGCAAAUUCACAAGGUGCCAGUGGUUAUCUGGUCGUGCAACUACUGCUGCUUCAGUAACUGCUGGAUGACUAUACAAGGCCCUUUCCACCUCAACUGUGCUUAUAUUCUCUCCACCAUAGAUUAUGUUAUCUUUCAAACGAUCGUUCACUUCUAGUAGCCAUCAGGAUGUUCGAUGGCAAGAUCACCACUCUGAAACAUCCACCUCUAAAAGCUUCCUCUGUUGCCUUUUGAUCUUUUAAAUAUCCACUCAUUACUGUAUUCCCUCUAAAUAUAACUUCUACCAUUGUUACACCAUCUGUGGGCACCUUCUUCAUGGUGAUAGAAUCUCUUACAUCAACUUCCUCAAUACAGAGAUGCGGCUCUCCUUGUCUUGCUUUCACUAUAAAUCUUUCACCUGAAGGCAAAGAAUCCCACUCAGGCUUCCAAAAGCAAUAUGUAUCUGAAGGGUUAAUUUCACGCAUGAGCACUGAAUUUUAUUCACUAUAACAGUGGAGUCGCCGAAUGUUGUCGCAUUAAAGUAAUUGAACUUUACUCACGAUAUUAGUGAAGUCACAAAACUGUUUUUUAUGGCUUCAUUGUUGUAGUAAGUAUAGUUCAGUGAUCAUCCGUAAAAAUUAAUCUUGUACCUGCAGCAUAUGUCUCUGUUAGCCCAUAGAAGCGAUUUACUACAAACCCCAACUCCUCCAUUCUUGAAAUGAUUUUGGUGGUGGUGGUGAACCAGCUGUCAUAAUCCUCACCUUGUGUGGAGGUGGCUUCUGGUCACACGAUGGCGUAUUCACUAUCAUGUUCAAGACAGUAGAUGUGUUGGUGAGCAAGAUAUCAAAUCCAAAGUAUGAAAAUGAAGAUGACACAGGAGAUAGGUUGGAAAUUGGUUUCCAAAUAUGGACUUUGUAAGAAGAAUUGGACACUUAUAUCCUUAUUCAUCAUCACCGUCCAUUUAUAUUAUGAUGGAUUAAAUCACAACCCUUCAUUUAUUACCUUUGUAAAUAGGAGUUGUUGUAUGCCACGACAUCUGUACAUAUUCACACGAUGUAAAGCACACACACUUAGUGGAUUUAGGAUAAGUUCAAGUAUUUAUCUUUGCACAUUUUUGUAUAGUUUGUUAUUAGGUAGCCAAUAGAAAUAGGACAAAUGUAUGCAUAGGAUUGGUUCCUGCUUUUAGUUUUAUAUUAUAAAUUCUUGUACAGAUAAUUAUCAGGAAUACACAACAUUUCUUCUUAAUUUUUUCAUCAUGGUAUCAAAGCUUUAA